UGAAAGCUCAUGUGUGACACAAUGAAGAAGGCUUAGAGAAAUGAAAUCACAAAGUCACUGAAUAUCAGCAGAUUCAACUUCACUGGAUAGUUCCCGAGACAGGCAGAAGUCCACAUCCUGACUCCGCAACUGUGAGCAGUAAUGUUGUACACAACGGGGAACUAAAGUCACAGAUGAAGCCCUUCUGCACAGAGUGGCCACAUGGUGAUGACAGUUCUGAUGAAGACCAACUAAUGUCAAAAAGUCCACUACCCAAGGUGAAGGAACAAAGAAUGAGAAGGUGGUCCUCAGUUCUCAAGGUGAACUUCAAACAAUAAUCAAUGUGGAAGCAGCUCUGUAUCCCUUGUCAUUCCCUGCCCAGAGAUGACUCACUCCAUCUCUUGGGAAUGCUCUCUGCUUGAG
This is a long non-coding RNA of Marmota flaviventris (yellow-bellied marmot), 402 nucleotides long. RefSeq lists it as uncharacterized. The record is from RefSeq and is a predicted model, not a curated record. Lineage: Eukaryota; Metazoa; Chordata; Mammalia; Rodentia; Sciuridae.